AACGUGCGAAACUUGGUCUUUUUGUUUCUAGGUAUAGCUCACGUGCAGUGUGCGUGAGUGUGGUGGUUUGAGUUAGUGCGUGAAUUCACAUGCUGCAUCUUUUGGGUUGAGGCAUAAAAGAACUAUUUACGCUAGCUAUUACCUACUUGUUGCUCAUUCCUGAUGUCUUCACCUCAUUCUCCCUGCGACUCGGCAACUACUCCCACUGACUACCGGAAGGGCGCGGGGUGGUUGCUGGUCCGCCUGGUAGGUGUUCGACGAAUUGCAGCAAUAGUACAGCACGGCACAUGUUCGAGUAAACGUCUCUGGAAGACGCGUUCAAGCUGUUAGCCUGGUUGUCUCGUGGAAUGCUUUCUGGUGGCACUUGGCCCCGACGGCCCAAACUAGAUGCGUGGCUGGGGUUUCAGUGCUGGAUGCCAGAAGGCUCAAGAUAGGCUGCCGUCUGUGAGCUGGAACACCAGUGGGAAAUUGAUUGGCUUUGCGUUCAAUGAGAUGCCACUGAAGGUCUGAACACUUGGUCCAUCUUGGGGUAAAUGCCCUGUUUCCUGGAGAGGAUGCAAGGCUUUACAGAGUACAGGUGGUUAUGCUGCCAGUGUAAAUGGCAAAAUUCAAAGCUUCAGAGCAGCUAUGGCCUAUGGUUGGUAAACAUCGGGAAUUCUGUAGAGUGCUGGAAGUAUGCUCGAGGCUGCCUGUAGGUUUUCUAUUUUACCCUGUUUAAUUUCCUCAUGAUGUGGCCUGAGCAUCUUUCUUUUUAAUAUUCUUGAUUGGACAAGUUCGACAAA
This is a long non-coding RNA of Panicum virgatum (switchgrass), 782 nucleotides long. RefSeq lists it as uncharacterized. The record is from RefSeq and is a predicted model, not a curated record. The transcript is spliced from 3 exons. NCBI's taxonomy places the organism in Eukaryota, Viridiplantae, Streptophyta, Magnoliopsida, Poales, Poaceae.